GCGAGCUGGGUUCAGAACGUCGUGAGACAGUUCGGUCCCUAUCCUCCGUGGGCGUAAGAGAAUUGAAGGAAGCUGUCCCUAGUACGAGAGGACCGGGAUGGACAGACCUCUGGUGUACCGGUUGUCGACCAACGGCACUGCCGGGUAGCUACGUCUGGUUUGGAUAACCGCUGAAAGCAUCUAAGCGGGAAGCCAAUCCUGAGAUGAGUUCUCUUUUUGGUAAGACCCCUUGUAGACUACGAGGUUGAUAGGCUGCAGGUGUAAGCGUUGUGAGGCGUUCAGCCGAGCAGUACUAAUCGGUCGAGCUCUUUAUCUUA
This 317-nucleotide ribosomal RNA is filed under the name Actinomycetota bacterium. RNAcentral's name for it is "partial 23S ribosomal RNA". It matches the Rfam family "Bacterial large subunit ribosomal RNA", at positions 2600 to 2925 of the family's 2925-position model. Lineage: Bacteria; Bacillati; Actinomycetota. The record is from RNAcentral.